AUGGCCCUAUUUAGAUAUUGCAUAGAUGAAUGUGGACUUUUGGACCUUGGGUAUAUUGGCCCUAAAUUUACAUGGUCUAACCGACAACAUGACGGGAUGAACAUAAGAGUUAGACUAGAUCGAGCUUUGGCAAAUAGUGAGUUUCUUAAAAGGUUUGAUAAUUGCUCUGUCGAAAACAUUAUAACUACAUCUUCAGACCACUUGGCGAUAUUGAUAACAAUAGCCAAGAGUGGUGAUCAGACUGCUACCAGUCCAGUGCAUAACUCCUUCAGAUUUGAAGCUGCAUGGAUGAGGGCUCCGGAUUAUAAUCAAAUGAUAGAGGAAAAUUGGAAAAAUCUGAAAGAUGGUGCUCCUUCCUUGAACAACACAUGGUCUGCACUAAAUAAAUUAUCCAAAGCUAUGCAGACCUGGUGUAAGACAUCAUUUGGACAAAUAAGAAAAGAGAUCAGAAGACUUGAGAAACGCCUGGCUGAUUUAAGAAGGAAUAGUUUGGUGACAGAUAGCUGUGUUGAAGAGAAGCAGAUUGAAAAAUGUCUGUGUGAACUUUUUGAGAGAGAAUAGAUUAUGGCAUGUCAGCGCUCAAGGGUUGAUUGGCUGCGUGAGGGGGACCGUAACACCUCCUUUUUCCAUGCCCGAGCUUCAGCUAGGAGGAGAACUAAUAGAAUUAAUUUCUUGAAGCAAGCUGACAGAACAAGAUGUGAAGAUCACAAAGCUAUCAAGAGUAUGGUAUAUGAGUUCUAUGCUAAUCUGUUCACCUCUUAACCUUGUACCUCAUUAGAUGCGGUGCUUCAAGCAAUUCCUUCUAAAGUGAACGAAGAAAUCAAUGAAGCCCUCUGUCGAGAAUAUACAAAUGAAGAAAUCAAGACCGCAUUCUUCCAAAUGGGGCCCAUCAAGGCCCUUGGACCUGACGGCUUCCCUGCCCUUUUUUUACCAAAAACAUUGGAAGCUGUUAGAAGAGGAUGUUUGUGCCGCAGUGAAGGGUUUUCUUUUGGGAUCGGAAAUUCCAGAAGGCUUCAACGAUUCGGUAAUUGUUUUAAUCCCAAAAGUAAAUUCUCCUGA
RNAcentral lists this ribosomal RNA (1059 nucleotides) under Triticum aestivum (bread wheat). RNAcentral's name for it is "partial small subunit ribosomal RNA". Lineage: Eukaryota; Viridiplantae; Streptophyta; Magnoliopsida; Poales; Poaceae. The record is from RNAcentral.